CGUAUCACUAGAGCAUUGGUGAAGUAGUCAUGGUUACCCGCUUAGUCAACCCAGUGCCACUAGAGUCAAGCUUGGAACUUGGAUAAAGUCCACCUUUGCUGAUGACUUCUGCAGUCCUACUUCAUCAAUAUGCAUGUACGCUGCUUUCAAUAAGAGAAAAGAUUUUCCCCGACUUUCCUGAGAUUCCGAUAAAUGGAGCGACGAAGUCAAAUCCCCCAUUAAAGUUAGCAGACAAGCAUAUGGAGUUGUUUAUCAAAUAAAAUCAAAAGGGUGGGGGUUCUGUGUCCUAAAAAUGUGUUCCAACCGCCUCAAAAUCCCAAAUGCCUUACUCUGUUUUUUAGUCAUUCUUUUCUCCCACAAGGUUGAGUCCUGGAGCUCUGCGGUUCUAAACAUUCUGUUGGCUGAAAUUUUCAACUUCAAACAAGGGUGGAGGAGAUAGAAGAGGGGCAUUCUUUUGGAUGAUAUCUCUGAAUAAUGCAUAAUACAAUU
Molecule: long non-coding RNA, 489 nt
Organism: Vitis vinifera (wine grape)
Lineage: Eukaryota; Viridiplantae; Streptophyta; Magnoliopsida; Vitales; Vitaceae
Exons: 2
Source: RefSeq, a predicted model, not a curated record